GGAUGCCCUGAAGACCUGCUCGCUAGGCUACGAACGGAGGACGCGGUUCCUCACGGGCUCCGGCCCGCCUAGGGGAAAGUCCCCGGGCCGCAGGCAGAGAGUGUCGGGCGCUGGCCGCGCUCCUGCCCGCCCCGACACCGCGUAGCUGCCGCCAAGACGCCCCCGGGCUGAGCGGGCGGGCGCGGGGCGGGUUCUCGUCAUGGACACAGGUACGCAGGUAGUGCGCGUGGCGCACUAACAGCACGGGGCUCACUCUUAGGACAUC
This 265-nucleotide RNase MRP RNA is filed under the name Cuculus canorus (common cuckoo). RNAcentral describes it as "RNase MRP". It matches the Rfam family "RNase MRP". From Rfam's summary of the family: RNase MRP is an enzymatically active ribonucleoprotein with two distinct roles in eukaryotes. The record is from Rfam by way of RNAcentral. Lineage: Eukaryota; Metazoa; Chordata; Aves; Cuculiformes; Cuculidae.